RNAcentral lists this transfer RNA (70 nucleotides) under Elaphrothrips spiniceps. Its description in RNAcentral is "tRNA-Leu". Lineage: Eukaryota; Metazoa; Arthropoda; Insecta; Thysanoptera; Phlaeothripidae. The record is from RNAcentral.
UUUAUUUUGACAGAAAAUUGUAAUGAAUUUAGGAUUCAAAAAUAUAUUAAAAUAAUUAAUAUAAAUAAAA